GUGGGGAAUUUUGGACAAUGGGCGAAAGCCUGAUCCAGCCAUGCCGCGUGCAGGAUGAAGGCCUUCGGGUUGUAAACUGCUUUUGUACGGAACGAAAAGACUCUGGUUAAUACCUGGGGUCCAUGACGGUACCGUAAGAAUAAGCACCGGCUAACUACGUGCCAGCAGCCGCGGUAAUACGUAGGGUGCAAGCGAUAAUCGGAAUUACUGGGCGUAAAGCGUGCGCAGGCGGUUAUAUAAGACAGAUGUGAAAUCCCCGGGCUCAACCUGGGAACUGCAUUUGUGACUGUAUAGCUAGAGUACGGCAGAGGGGGAUGGAAUUCCGCGUGUAGCAGUGAAAUGCGUAGAUAUGCGGAGGAACACCGAUGGCGAAGGCAAUCCCCUGGGCCUGUACUGACGCUCAUGCACGAAAGCGUGGGGAGCAAACAGGAUUAGAAACCCGGGUAGUCC
This 450-nucleotide ribosomal RNA is filed under the name uncultured bacterium. RNAcentral's name for it is "partial 16S ribosomal RNA". It matches the Rfam family "Bacterial small subunit ribosomal RNA", at positions 354 to 796 of the family's 1533-position model. The record is from RNAcentral.